RNAcentral lists this ribosomal RNA (465 nucleotides) under Vreelandella stevensii. RNAcentral describes it as "partial 16S ribosomal RNA". It matches the Rfam family "Bacterial small subunit ribosomal RNA", at positions 338 to 795 of the family's 1533-position model. Lineage: Bacteria; Pseudomonadati; Pseudomonadota; Gammaproteobacteria; Oceanospirillales; Halomonadaceae. The record is from RNAcentral.
CCUACGGGUUGCUGCAGUGGGGAAUAUUGGACAAUGGGGGGAACCCUGAUCCAGCCAUGCCGCGUGUGUGAAGAAGGCCCUCGGGUUGUAAAGCACUUUCAGUGAGGAAGAACGCCUGGUGGUUAAUACCCAUCAGGAAAGACAUCACUCACAGAAGAAGCACCGGCUAACUCCGUGCCAGCAGCCGCGGUAAUACGGAGGGUGCGAGCGUUAAUCGGAAUUACUGGGCGUAAAGCGCGCGUAGGUGGCUUGAUAAGCCGGUUGUGAAAGCCCCGGGCUCAACCUGGGAACGGCAUCCGGAACUGUCAAGCUAGAGUGCAGGAGAGGAAGGUAGAAUUCCCGGUGUAGCGGUGAAAUGCGUAGAGAUCGGGAGGAAUACCAGUGGCGAAGGCGGCCUUCUGGACUGACACUGACACUGAGGUGCGAAAGCGUGGGUAGCAAACAGGAUUAGAUACCCCUGUAGUC